GACGAACGCUGGCGGCGUGCUUAAUACAUGCAAGUCGAACGGAAAGGCCCUGCUCUUGCGGGGUGCUUGAUUGGCGAACGGGUGAGUAACACGUGAGUAACCCGUCCCUGACUUUGGGAUAACUUCAGGAAACUGGGGCUAAUACCGGAUAGGAGCUCCUGCUCCACGGUGGGGGAUGGAAAGUUUCGGCGGUUGGGGAUGGACUCGCUGCUUAUCAGCUUGUUGGUGGGGUAGUGGCUGACCAAGGGUAUGGCGGGUAGCCGGCCUGAGAGGGUGACCGGGGUCAUUAGGACUGAGGGACGGAGCAGUAUGCAACGGGAGGCAACAGUGGAAAGUCUUACAGAGUAGGGCCGAGCCUGAUGCGGCGGCGCCGCGUGCGGAAAGACGGGUUAUGAGUUAUAAACAGAUGUCGAAGGAAAUGAAGAGAGAGUGACGGUAAUGGAUCAAAAAGCAACGGCUAACUACGUG
This 468-nucleotide ribosomal RNA is filed under the name uncultured bacterium. Its description in RNAcentral is "partial 16S ribosomal RNA". It matches the Rfam family "Bacterial small subunit ribosomal RNA", at positions 28 to 507 of the family's 1533-position model. The record is from RNAcentral.